CAACAGCGGCGACAUGUAAUUGACGCGUUACAUGUCGCCGCUAUUGCUUGGCGUUGCCGCUAAAGGUGUCGCCGCUAUUGCUGACACCGUGACGAUCCGCGUGAAAUAAUCCCUGUCUGUUCAAUCAUUAUUCAAUCCUACGGUUGUAAACUCCUAAAACGCGCGCUUUCUUUUCCCUCCAGGGGUGUCGCCGCUAAAACAAAUAUGUCGCCGCUAUUGCCCGUCGCCGCUAUUGAGUUGCGACAGAUAACCCCCUAGUCGAGCCUUCUUCCCUUCUAUCGUUGUAUCUCUCAAACCGGUUAUGCCUUCACCAUCUGCACCUUACGAUUUCGACCAUCGGGAGCCAAUUUACCGGCGACACUUUCUUAUUUACCGGCGACCCACCUUCAUUACCGGUGACCAACCUUUAUUGAGGGCAAUUCCGUCCACAGCAACAUUUAAGUGAAAUUGAGCAAUCUAAGGCUAUAUAUGGGGUUUAGUUGGGCGAUACUCUUCUACAUGAUGGCGGAUGUUAUGGGCUUAGGACAUGGAGGUGACGGAGCCGGGGAUCCACCACCUCCCAGAGGCUUUGGUCGUGGUCAACACGAACAAGAUGCCGAGCUCCCUAAGAAAAGAAGAGGCCUAGCCAAAAACAUUCAACUAUCAAAGAUAAUACGGGCAAACAAGGGAAAGCCUGUAGAUUUGGAUUUCGAUAGGGAGCUGACAUAUUCCCUUGUCGGGAACCAUGGUAAUUGGUUUACCCGUGAGAUUGAGAAGUAUAUAUGGAUGAACAUCCCUUUGAACGUAUCUGGUUGGGACAAUGUUUCCCCCGCUUUAAGGAAUGCCACAGUGGUUCAUUUAAAGAAUAAGUUUGAUUUAGAUAAGGUUAACUUGGAUCCCGAGCGUGCUCAGUUGUUGCAGAGCAUUGAUGCGACUUUGCAAAGAAUUUAUAGAGGCCGGAAAAAUAAAGCGCAUACUUAUUUUGAGAAUGUCGGGGGGCUUACAGAUAUCCCAAGGGCAUUAGCCAACCCCCCCCCCCCCCCCCCCCCCCCCCCGAUGGUAUGUCACGUGAAAAUUGGGCGCAAGCAGUUGAGCAUUUUCAAACUCCUGAAUUUCUAAAGCGUUCGGCGUCAAACAAAGGAGUCCGUGCACAACAACAAGUUGUAAACAGAGGGGGAUCGUGCUCAUAUAGCAAUGCAUGUUUCAAAGAAGUAAACUAUGAUAUGUUUAAUUGUUUAUUUAAAUUAUAAUUAAUCUAAUUUUUAAUGUUAAAUAGGACAUUGCUCGAAUUGAAGCAUUUCGUAAGGCCAAUACUGAUCGCCAAGGGGUGUUUAGUAGUCCUACAGUUGAGCAACAAUACUCAACAAACUCAAGCUUCUUCUGAAGCCAGCGGUCUAACACCGAAGGAUACACAAAAUUGUUUUGAAAAAAUAUUGGGUGUUCGACGUGGCCAUAUCAGAGGCAUCGGACGUAAACCUUCUACGGUUGUGUCGAUGUACGAUCAGGAACAACCACUAACACAACCACCACCACAAUCACAGUUGGAAAUGCUUCAAACAAUGUUAAAAGAUCCGGCAUGUAGUGCUGCGCUUGAAGAUUGGUUUCGUUCGUUGCCACAACGAAAUGAAACCGAAGGAAACGAGGAGAGCGAUGAUGACGAGUAGAUAGUUGUAGGAUUUUUUUAUGUUUUAUCUGUGCAAGUAUUUUAGACUAGUAUUUUUAUUAUUUUGUUAUAUGUUAAAUCGGACGAGUAUUUUA
Lactuca sativa (garden lettuce) is the source of this 1737-nucleotide non-coding RNA. The record is from RefSeq and is a predicted model, not a curated record. NCBI's taxonomy places the organism in Eukaryota, Viridiplantae, Streptophyta, Magnoliopsida, Asterales, Asteraceae.